This 364-nucleotide ribosomal RNA is filed under the name uncultured microorganism. RNAcentral's name for it is "bacterial SSU rRNA". It matches the Rfam family "Archaeal small subunit ribosomal RNA", at positions 330 to 700 of the family's 1478-position model. The record is from RNAcentral.
GUGCACCAGUCGCGAAAACUUUACAAUGUGCGAAAGCACGAUAAGGGAACUCUGAGUGCCUCCUAAGGAGGCUGUUCAGGUGUCUAAAAGCACCUGAAGGAAGGGCUGGGUAAGACCGGUGCCAGCCGCCGCGGUAACACCGGCAGCCCAAGUGGUAGCCACGUUUAUUGGGUCUAAAGCGUCCGUAGCCGGCUGGGUAAGUUCCUUGGGAAAUUUGGCUGCUUAACAGUCAAGCUUUCAGGGAAUACUGCCCGGCUUGGGACCGGGAGAGGUCAGAGGUACUCCAGGGGUAGGGGUGAAAUCCAUUAAUCCUUGGGGGACCACCGGUAGCGAAGGCGUCUGACCAGACCGGGUCCGACGGUGA